RNAcentral lists this ribosomal RNA (516 nucleotides) under Lygodactylus pictus. RNAcentral's name for it is "partial 16S ribosomal RNA". It matches the Rfam family "Bacterial large subunit ribosomal RNA", at positions 1852 to 2597 of the family's 2925-position model. Lineage: Eukaryota; Metazoa; Chordata; Lepidosauria; Squamata; Gekkonidae. The record is from RNAcentral.
GUCCCACCUGCCCAGUGAAAAAUUUUCAACGGGCGCGGUAUCCUAACCGUGCAAAGGUAGCGCAAUCACUUGCCCUCUAACUGUGGGCUAGUAUGAACGGUUAAAUGAGGGCCUAACUGUCUCCUGAAGUCGAUCAAUGAAUUUGAUUACCCAGUACAAACGCUGAAAUAUACACACAAGACGAGAAGACCCUGUGGAACUUUAAAUGCUCGUACUAGCAGGCCCCCCCCCCCAAAUACGCCCACACUAGCACAAUUUUAAGUUGGGGCAACUACGGAGUAAAACAGAACCUCCACGAACCGCGACUAGCCCUCGCACACAAGGCGGACACGCCAACAACCAUGCAAAGCUUGAUCCAGUAAAACUGAUUUCCGAACCAAGCUACCCCAGGGAUAACAGCGCCAUCCCCUUCAAGAGCCCAUAUCGCCAAGGGGGCUUACGACCCCGAUGUUGGAUCAGGACACCCAGGCGGUGCAGCCGCUGCCAAAGGUUCGUUUGUUCAACGAAUAAUGUCCU